This 73-nucleotide transfer RNA is filed under the name Streptomyces phage FlowerPower. RNAcentral describes it as "tRNA-Phe". It matches the Rfam family "tRNA". Rfam says of the family: Transfer RNA (tRNA) molecules are approximately 80 nucleotides in length. RNAcentral also lists the same sequence under 5 other names. Lineage: Duplodnaviria; Heunggongvirae; Uroviricota; Caudoviricetes. The record is from RNAcentral.
UGUCUGUUAGCUCAGUCGGAAGAGCAACCGGUUGAAACCCGGUGCGCGCAGGUUCGAUCCCUGCACAGGCAAC